UAUACAUGCAGUCGAGCGAAUCGAUGGGAGCUUGCUCCCUGAGAUUAGCGGCGGACGGGUGAGUAACACGUGGGCAACCUGCCUAUAAGACUGGGAUAACUUCGGGAAACCGGAGCUAAUACCGGAUACGUUCUUUUCUCGCAUGAGAGAAGAUGGAAAGACGGUUUACGCUGUCACUUAUAGAUGGGCCCGCGGCGCAUUAGCUAGUUGGUGAGGUAAUGGCUCACCAAGGCGACGAUGCGUAGCCGACCUGAGAGGGUGAUCGGCCACACUGGGACUGAGACACGGCCCAGACUCCUACGGGAGGCAGCAGUAGGGAAUCUUCCGCAAUGGACGAAAGUCUGACGGAGCAACGCCGCGUGAACGAAGAAGGCCUUCGGGUCGUAAAGUUCUGUUGUUAGGGAAGAACAAGUACCAGAGUAACUGCUGGUACCUUGACGGUACCUAACCAGAAAGCCACGGCUAACUACGUGCCAGCAGCCGCGGUAAUACGUAGGUGGCAAGCGUUGUCCGGAAUUAUUGGGCGUAAAGCGCGCGCAGGUGGUUCCUUAAGUCUGAUGUGAAAGCCCACGGCUCAACCGUGGAGGGUCAUUGGAAACUGGGGAACUUGAGUGCAGAAGAGGAAAGUGGAAUUCCAAGUGUAGCGGUGAAAUGCGUAGAGAUUUGGAGG
This 670-nucleotide ribosomal RNA is filed under the name Bacillus sp. (in: firmicutes). RNAcentral's name for it is "bacterial SSU rRNA". It matches the Rfam family "Bacterial small subunit ribosomal RNA", at positions 50 to 704 of the family's 1533-position model. The record is from RNAcentral. Lineage: Bacteria; Bacillati; Bacillota; Bacilli; Caryophanales; Bacillaceae.